UGACUGCGUACCUUUUGUAUAAUGGGUCAGCGACUUAUAUUCUGUAGCAAGGUUAACCGAAUAGGGGAGCCGAAGGGAAACCGAGUCUUAACUGGGCGUUAAGUUGCAGGGUAUAGACCCGAAACCCGGUGAUCUAGCCAUGGGCAGGUUGAAGGUUGGGUAACACUAACUGGAGGACCGAACCGACUAAUGUUGAAAAAUUAGCGGAUGACUUGUGGCUGGGGGUGAAAGGCCAAUCAAACCGGGAGAUAGCUGGUUCUCCCCGAAAGCUAUUUAGGUAGCGCCUCGUGAAUUCAUCUCCGGGGGUAGAGCACUGUUUCGGCAAGGGGGUCAUCCCGACUUACCAACCCGAUGCAAACUGCGAAUACCGGAGAAUGUUAUCACGGGAGACACACGGCGGGUGCUAACGUCCGUCGUGAAGAGGGAAACAACCCAGACCGCCAGCUAAGGUCCCAAAGUCAUGGUUAAGUGGGAAACGAUGUGGGAAGGCCCAGACAGCCAGGAUGUUGGCUUAGAAGCAGCCAUCAUUUAAAGAAAGCGUAAUAGCUCACUGGUCGAGUCGGCCUGCGCGGAAGAUGUAACGGGGCUAAACCAUGCACCGAAGCUGCGGCAGCGACACUAUGUGUUGUUGGGUAGGGGAGCGUUCUGUAAGCCUGUGAAGGUGUGCUGUGAGGCAUGCUGGAGGUAUCAGAAGUGCGAAUGCUGACAUAAGUAACGAUAAAGCGGGUGAAAAGCCCGCUCGCCGGAAGACCAAGGGUUCCUGUCCAACGUUAAUCGGGGCAGGGUGAGUCGACCCCUAAGGCGAGGCCGAAAGGCGUAGUCGAUGGGAAACAGGUUAAUAUUCCUGUACUUGGUGUUACUGCGAAGGGGGGACGGAGAAGGCUAUGUUGGCCGGGCGACGGUUGUCCCGGUUUAAGCGUGUAGGCUGGUUUUCCAGGCAAAUCCGGAAAAUCAAGGCUGAGGCGUGAUGACGAGGCACUACGGUGCUGAAGCAACAAAUGCCCUGCUUCCAGGAAAAGCCUCUAAGCAUCAGGUAACAUCAAAUCGUACCCCAAACCGACACAGGUGGUCAGGUAGAGAAUACCAAGGCGCUUGAGAGAACUCGGGUGAAGGAACUAGGCAAAAUGGUGCCGUAACUUCGGGAGAAGGCACGCUGAUAUGUAGGUGAAGCGACUUGCUCGUGGAGCUGAAAUCAGUCGAAGAUACCAGCUGGCUGCAACUGUUUAUUAAAAACACAGCACUGUGCAAACACGAAAGUGGACGUAUACGGUGUGACGCCUGCCCGGUGCCGGAAGGUUAAUUGAUGGGGUCAGCGCAAGCGAAGCUCUUGAUCGAAGCCCCGGUAAACGGCGGCCGUAACUAUAACGGUCCUAAGGUAGCGAAAUUCCUUGUCGGGUAAGUUCCGACCUGCACGAAUGGCGUAAUGAUGGCCAGGCUGUCUCCACCCGAGACUCAGUGAAAUUGAACUCGCUGUGAAGAUGCAGUGUACCCGCGGCAAGACGGAAAGACCCCGUGAACCUUUACUAUAGCUUGACACUGAACAUUGAGCCUUGAUGUGUAGGAUAGGUGGGAGGCUUUGAAGUGUGGACGCCAGUCUGCAUGGAGCCGACCUUGAAAUACCACCCUUUAAUGUUUGAUGUUCUAACGUGGACCCGUGAUCCGGGUUGCGGACAGUGUCUGGUGGGUAGUUUGACUGGGGCGGUCUCCUCCUAAAGAGUAACGGAGGAGCACGAAGGUUGGCUAAUCCUGGUCGGACAUCAGGAGGUUAGUGCAAUGGCAUAAGCCAGCUUGACUGCGAGCGUGACGGCGCGAGCAGGUGCGAAAGCAGGUCAUAGUGAUCCGGUGGUUCUGAAUGGAAGGGCCAUCGCUCAACGGAUAAAAGGUACUCCGGGGAUAACAGGCUGAUACCGCCCAAGAGUUCAUAUCGACGGCGGUGUUUGGCACCUCGAUGUCGGCUCAUCACAUCCUGGGGCUGAAGUAGGUCCCAAGGGUAUGGCUGUUCGCCAUUUAAAGUGGUACGCGAGCUGGGUUUAGAACGUCGUGAGACAGUUCGGUCCCUAUCUGCCGUGGGCGCUGGAGAACUGAGGGGGGCUGCUCCUAGUACGAGAGGACCGGAGUGGACGCAUCACUGGUGUUCGGGUUGUCAUGCCAAUGGCACUGCCCGGUAGCUAAAUGCGGAAGAGAUAAGUGCUGAAAGCAUCUAAGCACGAAACUUGCCCCGAGAUGAGUUCU
RNAcentral lists this ribosomal RNA (2232 nucleotides) under Escherichia coli. Its description in RNAcentral is "bacterial LSU rRNA". It matches the Rfam family "Bacterial large subunit ribosomal RNA", at positions 594 to 2812 of the family's 2925-position model. The record is from RNAcentral. Lineage: Bacteria; Pseudomonadati; Pseudomonadota; Gammaproteobacteria; Enterobacterales; Enterobacteriaceae.